RNAcentral lists this ribosomal RNA (484 nucleotides) under uncultured bacterium. Its description in RNAcentral is "partial 16S ribosomal RNA". It matches the Rfam family "Bacterial small subunit ribosomal RNA", at positions 30 to 507 of the family's 1533-position model. The record is from RNAcentral.
AUUGAACGCUGGCGGCAGGCCUAACACAUGCAAGUCGAGCGGAUGAAGGGAGCUUGCUCCUGGAUUCAGCGGCGGACGGGUGAGUAAUGCCUAGGAAUCUGCCUGGUAGUGGGGGCUAACGUCCGGACACGGGCGCUAAUACCGCAUACGUCCUGAGGGAGAAAGUGGGGGAUCUUCGGACCUCACGCUCUCAGAUGAGCCUAGGUCGGAUUAGCUAGUUGGUGGGGUAAAGGCCUACCAAGGCGACGAUCCGUAACUGGUCUGAGAGGAUGAUCAGUCACACUGGAACUGAGACACGGUCCAGACUCCUACGGGAGGCAGCAGUGGGGAAUAUUGGACAAUGGGCGAAAGCCUGAUCCAGCCAUGCCGCGUGUGUGAAGAAGGUCUUCGGAUUGUAAAGCACUUUUAGUUGGGAGGAAGGGCAGUAAGUUAAUACCUUGCUGUUUUGACGUUACCAACAGAAUAAGCACCGGCUAACUUCGUG